AACGAACGCUGGCGGCAGGCUUAACACAUGCAAGUCGAACGCCCCGCAAGGGGAGUGGCAGACGGGUGAGUAACGCGUGGGAAUCUACCGUGCCCUGCGGAAUAGCUCCGGGAAACUGGAAUUAAUACCGCAUACGCCAUACGGGGGAAAGAUUUAUCGGGGUAUGAUGAGCCCGCGUUGGAUUAGCUAGUUGGUGGGGUAAAGGCCUACCAAGGCGACGAUCCAUAGCUGGUCUGAGAGGAUGAUCAGCCACAUUGGGACUGAGACACGGCCCAAACUCCUACGGGAGGCAGCAGUGGGGAAUAUUGGACAAUGGGCGCAAGCCCGAUCCAGCCAUGCCGCGUGAGUGAUGAAGGCCUUAGGGUUGUAAAGCUCUUUCACCGAUGAAGAUAAUGACGGUAGUCGGAGAAGAAGCCCCGGCUAACUUCGUGCCAGCAGCCGCCGUAA
This 447-nucleotide ribosomal RNA is filed under the name uncultured bacterium. RNAcentral's name for it is "partial 16S ribosomal RNA". It matches the Rfam family "Bacterial small subunit ribosomal RNA", at positions 29 to 523 of the family's 1533-position model. The record is from RNAcentral.